This 245-nucleotide ribosomal RNA is filed under the name uncultured bacterium. Its description in RNAcentral is "partial 16S ribosomal RNA". It matches the Rfam family "Bacterial small subunit ribosomal RNA", at positions 524 to 768 of the family's 1533-position model. The record is from RNAcentral.
UACGUAGGGGGCAAGCGUUGUCCGGAAUCAUUGGGCGUAAAGAGCGUGUAGGCGGCUCGAUAAGUCUGCUGUGAAAGUCCAGGGCUCAACCCUGGAAGGCCGGUGGAAACUGUCGGGCUAGAGUCCGGAAGAGGCGAGUGGAAUUCCCGGUGUAGCGGUGAAAUGCGCAGAUAUCGGGAGGAACACCAAUGGCGAAGGCAGCUCGCUGGGACGGUACUGACGCUGAGACGCGAAAGCGUGGGGAG